AGUCGAGGGGCACAUGCCGGUUGCUUGCAACCGGUGAUGGCGACCGGCGCACGGGUGAGUAACGCGUAUCCAACCUUCCCGCGACCAAGGGAUAACCUGCCGAAAGGCAGACUAAUACCUUAUGUCCUCCUUUGAAGGCAUCUGACGAGGAGCAAAGAUCCGUCGGUCACGGAUGGGGAUGCGUCCGAUUAGCUUGUUGGCGGGGCAACGGCCCACCAAGGCUUCGAUCGGUAGGGGUUCUGAGAGGAAGGCCCCCCACACUGGAACUGAGACACGGUCCAGACUCCUACGGGAGGCAGCAGUGAGGAAUAUUGGUCAAUGGGCGGAAGCCUGAACCAGCCAAGUAGCGUGCAGGACGACGGCCCUACGGGUUGUAAACUGCUUUUAUGCGGGGAUAAAGUUGCCCACGCGUGGGCUUUUGCAGGUACCGCAUGAAUAAGGACCGGCUAAUUCCGUGCCAGCAGCCGCGGUAAUACGGAAGGUCCGGGCGUUAUCCGGAUUUAUUGGGUUUAAAGGGAGCGCAGGCCGCCGUGCAAGCGUGCCGUGAAAAGCAGCGGCCCAACCGCUGCCCUGCGGCGCGAACUGCCUGGCUUGAGUGCGCCGGAAGCGGGCGGAAUUCGUGGUGUAGCGGUGAAAUGCUUAGAUAUCACGAAGAACCCCGAUUGCGAAGGCAGCCCGCUGUGGCGCCACUGACGCUGAGGCUCGAAGGUGCGGGUAUCGAACAGGAUUAGAUACCCUGGUAGUCCGCACGGUAAACGAUGGAUACCCGCUGUCCGGCCCGUACGGUCUGGGCGGCCAAGCGAAAGCGUUAAGUAUCCCACCUGGGGAGUACGCCGGCAACGGUGAAACUCAAAGGAAUUGACGGGG
This 867-nucleotide ribosomal RNA is filed under the name Prevotella sp. HGBC36. RNAcentral's name for it is "bacterial SSU rRNA". It matches the Rfam family "Bacterial small subunit ribosomal RNA", at positions 60 to 918 of the family's 1533-position model. Lineage: Bacteria; Pseudomonadati; Bacteroidota; Bacteroidia; Bacteroidales; Prevotellaceae. The record is from RNAcentral.